Molecule: non-coding RNA, 74 nt
Organism: Cucurbita maxima (winter squash)
Lineage: Eukaryota; Viridiplantae; Streptophyta; Magnoliopsida; Cucurbitales; Cucurbitaceae
Source: the annotation of a RefSeq genome assembly
GGCCUAUUAGCUCAGUUGGUUAGAGUAUCGUACUAAUAACGCGAAGGUCGCAGGUUGGACCCCUGCAUGGGUCA